UACGUAGGGUGCGAGCGUUGUCCGGAAUUAUUGGGCGUAAAGGGCUCGUAGGCGGUUUGUCGCGUCGGGAGUGAAAACACACAGCUUAACUGUAUGCUUGCUUCCGAUACGGGCAGACUAGAGGUAUGCAGGGGAGAACGGAAUUCCUGGUGUAGCGGUGAAAUGCGCAGAUAUCAGGAGGAACACCGGUGGCGAAGGCGGUUCUCUGGGCAUUACCUGACGCUGAGGAGCGAAAGUGUGGGGAGCGAACAGG
Molecule: ribosomal RNA, 253 nt
Filed under: uncultured bacterium
Lineage: Bacteria
Description: partial 16S ribosomal RNA
Rfam family: Bacterial small subunit ribosomal RNA
Source: RNAcentral